CUUGAUAAGCCAUAAGAGGUCCAGCCUGCCCAGUGAUAAAUUUAACGGCCGCGGUACCCUGACCGUGCGAAGGUAGCAUAAUCACUUGUUCUUUAAAUAGGGACUAGUAUCAACGGCAUCACGAGGGUUACACUGUCUCCUUUCUUCAAUCAGUGAAACUGAUCUCCCCGUGAAGAAGCGGGGAUAUAAUUAUAAGACGAGAAGACCCCAUGGAGCUUUAAAUUUUACUGCAACUUAGUCAGAUAAUCCAUUAUAAUUUACAAAGCCCUGCAUGUUAAUUUUAGGUUGGGGUGACCGCGGAGUAAAAACUAACCUCCACGACGAAAAGAACUAAAUCUUUAUCCAAGAGCUACAACUCUAAGAAUUAGAAUACUAACGACAAUGAUCCGACAAUCGAUCAACGGACCA
This 408-nucleotide ribosomal RNA is filed under the name Zhangixalus maximus (Nepal flying frog). RNAcentral's name for it is "Rhacophorus maximus (Nepal flying frog) partial 16S ribosomal RNA". It matches the Rfam family "Bacterial large subunit ribosomal RNA", at positions 1834 to 2459 of the family's 2925-position model. Lineage: Eukaryota; Metazoa; Chordata; Amphibia; Anura; Rhacophoridae. The record is from RNAcentral.